This 465-nucleotide ribosomal RNA is filed under the name Klebsiella pneumoniae. Its description in RNAcentral is "partial 23S ribosomal RNA". It matches the Rfam family "Bacterial large subunit ribosomal RNA", at positions 1164 to 1632 of the family's 2925-position model. Lineage: Bacteria; Pseudomonadati; Pseudomonadota; Gammaproteobacteria; Enterobacterales; Enterobacteriaceae. The record is from RNAcentral.
CGGAAGAUGUAACGGGGCUAAACCAUGCACCGAAGCUGCGGCAGCGACACUAUGUGUUGUUGGGUAGGGGAGCGUUCUGUAAGCCUGCGAAGGUGACCUGUGAGGGUUGCUGGAGGUAUCAGAAGUGCGAAUGCUGACAUAAGUAACGAUAAAGCGGGUGAAAAGCCCGCUCGCCGGAAGACCAAGGGUUCCUGUCCAACGUUAAUCGGGGCAGGGUGAGUCGACCCCUAAGGCGAGGCCGAAAGGCGUAGUCGAUGGGAAACAGGUUAAUAUUCCUGUACUUGGUGUUACUGCGAAGGGGGGACGGAGAAGGCUAUGUUAGCCGGGCGACGGUUGUCCCGGUUUAAGCAUGUAGGCUGGUUGUCCAGGCAAAUCCGGAUAAUCAAGGCUGAGGUGUGAUGACGAGGCACUACGGUGCUGAAGUAACAAAUGCCCUGCUUCCAGGAAAAGCCUCUAAGCAUCAGG